GAUGAACGCUGGCGGCGUGCCUAAUACAUGCAAGUCGAGCGAACAGACGAGGAGCUUGCUCCUCUGACGUUAGCGGCGGACGGGUGAGGAACACGUGGAUAACCUACCUAUAAGACUGGGAUAACUUCGGGAAACCGGAGCUAAUACCGGAUAAUAUAUUGAACCGCAUGGUUCAAUAGUGAAAGACGGUUUUGCUGUCACUUAUAGAUGGAUCCGCGCCGCAUUAGCUAGUUGGUAAGGUAACGGCUUACCAAGGCAACGAUGCGUAGCCGACCUGAGAGGGUGAUCGGCCACACUGGAACUGAGACACGGUCCAGACUCCUACGGGAGGCAGCAGUGGGGAAUCUUCCGCAAUGGGCGAAAGCCUGACGGAGCAACGCCGCGUGAGUGAUGAAGGUCUUCGGAUCGUAAAACUCUGUUAUUAGGGAAGAACAAAUGUGUAAGUAACUCUGCACGUCUUGACGGUACCUAAUCAGAAAGCCACGGCUAACUACGUG
This 497-nucleotide ribosomal RNA is filed under the name uncultured bacterium. RNAcentral's name for it is "partial 16S ribosomal RNA". It matches the Rfam family "Bacterial small subunit ribosomal RNA", at positions 28 to 507 of the family's 1533-position model. The record is from RNAcentral.